Long non-coding RNA from Rosa chinensis, 3213 nucleotides. RefSeq lists it as uncharacterized. The record is from RefSeq and is a predicted model, not a curated record. NCBI's taxonomy places the organism in Eukaryota, Viridiplantae, Streptophyta, Magnoliopsida, Rosales, Rosaceae. The transcript has 8 exons.
GCCUGAUUUGGUAGUGGAUUCCGGAACCUUCGCAAAAACAAAAACAAGAAUCACUGACUGAAAGAGAGAGUGAGAGAGAGAGAGAGAGAGAGAGAGAGUUCGGUUCGAUCUUGGUCUCUGCUGUGGUUCUUCGUCUCACUUAGAUUGAUAGUGAGGGAGGAAUUUUGGUUUGUGGUUUUGAAUUGAUUUGGUUCUCUAAGUCAGCACGAUUUUUUUCAGAGGGAUCUUGCAACAGGAGAAGGGAGAGACAGAAACACUGACAGCGAAGUGGAGGUCGAUAGCAAGGUUUGGAUCCGGUUUGGGAGGGAUCUUUUAGCAGGAGAAGAGAUGUCUGGCUCAAUUGCACUGUGAAAGUGAUAUUGGCUUAAUCACUUUCAAAAUUUGGACGCUUCUGGUCUUGAUCUUCUUCAUCAUCACUACUUUCCAAGCUGCUUAGUUUAUUGUAUCUACUCCUCCUUCUGUAGCACUCUGUCUUCAUGCUUCACCAAAAUGGGGGGAGAGAGAGAGAGAGAGAGAGAGAGAGAGAGAGAGAGAGAGAUUACAAUACCAAAGAGAAAUAGGGGUGAAAGGCCAGGGAUUAAUGACCACCACCAAAAGUUGGUGUGGUUCAGAGGUGGACUUUAAAUAAAUUAGACCAAAAGUAAACAUCAUUAAAUGGAGGAGGGUUAUAGGGAGAGUUAUUCAUGCCCAGAGCCCUUUUGGCUUCUGCUAAUUUGAGAGUUGAAAGUGUUUUUGGUAGCGUUUCACAAAAGUAACUGAGGUGUUACAUGCUUUUUAACAAAGCACCUGUAGAAAUGCACUUGAGAAGCUUAUAAAACAGAAGUUCUUCCUACAAAAGCAGUGUCAAGGGGACCUAAAGUGGUCUUUGGUCAUGAAGAAACUAUGAAGUACACUAGGUAGAUGUGUAAUUAAAAUUCCAAGAACCAAAAGUCAGAAAGCAGCAAUGGAGAGCAUGUGACUUGAGUUAAGCAUGAGCAACAGAGAGAGAGAUAGUGAGUAGAAGCGGAGAAAGAAGAUGCACAGUUUUUUUUUUUUUCCCAGUAGAAAAGGGAUAAUUGUGUUUGGGUAGAUGAUCUACUACAACUAAACCAAUCGUGCUUGGGUUUUGAAGAUAAUCGUCCUAGAUCAACCAGAUGAGGGACCAUCGCUUCUAAUUUGUUUCAUUUAUUCUUCGUCAGUUGGUUUCGCAAGGGUUGGGUUACACAUAUAAUCAGUGCCCCCCCUCUUUUUUUUUCAAUAUUGCUAUAAUUUUUUCAUUCAAUUGAUGUAGUUGUGCUUCAUUAUUUUCAUAUAGCUAGGAUUCUGAAUAAAGCCAAGGAGCUAUAUUGUUGGUUAUUGAUUGUUUGUAUUGUUUUUUGAAAUUGGGUUGCAGAAAACAGAAGAAGUGUUGCUGGGUUUCGGAUUUCAGUGAUUGAAGUUUUCAGUAUUGUGGAUUGGAGUAUCUCCCCGUUUUUGCUUUGUUGAUUGGAUUUUGCCGCAUCCAACAUCGAAUUAAUUAGGGAUACUGUUUGUUGUGGAGUUUGCGAUUUCAGUAAUUGGUUGGAAGAGGUUGGAGGUCAGAUUUUCAUCAUGAAGCACAACUACAAUUAUCAGUUUUGGGUUUGGGAUCAAUUUUGGUCUUCAAUUAUCAAAAAACAAUUGUUUUCAAUCUAUAUCCUUAUUUAUUCAUUUAUACUUUUAAUAAUGGCUCUGCUUUUAAUAAUGGUUUUGUUUUGGUUGUGGCUCAUGGAAGCACAAAUUUCCGCGUAAUGUGCACAUUGUUUGGAGUCCAGGAGAAAUUCAAGAAGUUUCCUGGGAAGUUCAACCAAAGUUCAGUUGGGAGUCCUUGAGUACAAUUUCGCAUCCAACUGAACUACACUACCAACUGAACUUCCUUGCACUCCCUUUUAGAUUAGAUCUUUACUUCAAUUUCCAAAACUUUUGUCUGCUUCAUUUUCAGUUUCAUUAAUAUCAUAUUAACUACCGCAGCAAAGCGCGCUGAGUUUAGGUAGUGUCUGAAUAAUUAUUGCGAUCUGAUUAAUUAUUGCGAUCUGAAUUAUUGAUGAGUGGUUCCUAAGGAGUAGCCUUGGGAGUUUGCAAAUGAGUGGUUCCUAAGGAGCAGACACAUUUAUUGAUAAAUUUUGUGAGGAGAAAAUGCAACAAUAACUUUCCCUCUCAGAGUUCAUGUUCUGGAUUUCUGUUUCAGGGUUGGACCUAAUUUUCAAGUUUGCAACUUUAUAAUCCCAAAAGCCAGAAGAGAUUUAGGGCUUGACAUAGUCUAAAAGCCAUGGGAGAAGAUCAUGUGUACACAAAAGAUCGGAGGGUUGAAUCCAUUCCAGAUGAGCUCCUUGCAUUCUCUGGCUCACACCCACUUAACAGUAAUUGGCUCAGGUGAUUUAUAUGAUCUCUUAUAUAUGCCAAUGUAAUUCAUACGUGAUCUGUAUGAUAUAGUAUUGUUUAAUGAUUACAUCAGUUUAAAUGGUUAGUUGUAGUUGGAGUAACCGUAUCAGAAUUGCUUAGUGAGGGUGCACUUGCUAUUGUUCGUUUCUUAUUCUUUCCCGUUGUUUGAAUUGUACUUAACUAUCUCAAUUAUUUUUGCACGAUCAAAUUGCUUUUCCACAGUGAUUUCUAUUCAAUGUUAAUGAUCUGUAUGUCUUAUCAACUUCACGUUGUUCAAUACGUAAUUUCUGUAGCUCUGUUUAUUUGAAUCAGUCAUGUAGAGUUUCUAAACUGUAAUACAUUGCCCUAAAAAGGUUAUUCCCUUUUCCUUUCCAGUUUUAAUAGUGAGGUUUCUUCCCUUUUCCUUUCCCUCACAAGCUGGAAUAUGGGCUUUUGAACAUCAAGCCUGAACGUAUGGAUACUUUCUUUUCCUGUUAUCUAUAGUCAACGUCUUAGUUUGAGUGAACAAAAACUAGAGGAUCAGAGGUUUUGACUCCACAGAGGUGCACUCUCUACUGUGAUUGUAUUUGUUUAUGCAGAUUCUGUAUGCAAGCAGGUCUGCCAUUACCCUGAUCCUGUAACAAGGUUGGCUAUAUAUGUUUGUUAUAUUGUUGGCUAGAGUGAGUGUUUUAGAAUGUGCAAAAAAAAAAAAUGUAUCUACUAAUGUUCCAAUUAUGUUUAUUCGACCCAAAAGUUGUGGUUGCACAGUUGUGUGCAGUCCUGCCUUACUUUGAAUGCCAAUUUAGGAUGGCCUGCCUUUGGAAUGUUGAUUUAUGUGAUUCUGUAUUUGUCCUA